RNAcentral lists this ribosomal RNA (301 nucleotides) under uncultured bacterium. Its description in RNAcentral is "partial 16S ribosomal RNA". It matches the Rfam family "Bacterial small subunit ribosomal RNA", at positions 509 to 809 of the family's 1533-position model. The record is from RNAcentral.
CAGUCGCCGCGGGAACACGUAGGUGGCAAGCGUUGUCCGGAAUUAUUGGGCGUAAAGGGCUCGCAGGCGGCUUCUUAAGUCUGAUGUGAAAGCCCCCGGCUCAACCGGGGAGGGUCAUUGGAAACUGGGAAACUUGAGUGCAGAAGAGGAGAGUGGAAUUCCACGUGUAGCGGUGAAAUGCGUAGAGAUGUGGAGGAACACCAGUGGCGAAGGCGACUCUCUGGUCUGUAACUGACGCUGAGGAGCGAAAGCGUGGGGGGCGAACAGGAUUAGAUACCCCAGUAGUCCCUGUCUCUUAUAA